GCGGAUGAAGCUCAAUUGGAUGAGCACCACUUCGUCGAAGUGGCGGUUGGGGGGUUCGAGUCCCUUCGUCCGCU
Molecule: transfer RNA, 74 nt
Filed under: Candidatus Saccharimonadota bacterium
Lineage: Bacteria; Candidatus Saccharimonadota
Description: tRNA-Asp
Rfam family: tRNA
About the family: Transfer RNA (tRNA) molecules are approximately 80 nucleotides in length. Their secondary structure includes four short double-helical elements and three loops (D, anti-codon, and T loops).
Source: RNAcentral